Molecule: ribosomal RNA, 1342 nt
Filed under: Staphylococcus aureus M45726
Lineage: Bacteria; Bacillati; Bacillota; Bacilli; Caryophanales; Staphylococcaceae
Description: bacterial SSU rRNA
Rfam family: Bacterial small subunit ribosomal RNA
Source: RNAcentral
AGAGUUUGAUCCUGGCUCAGGAUGAACGCUGGCGGCGUGCCUAAUACAUGCAAGUCGAGCGAACGGACGAGAAGCUUGCUUCUCUGAUGUUAGCGGCGGACGGGUGAGUAACACGUGGAUAACCUACCUAUAAGACUGGGAUAACUUCGGGAAACCGGAGCUAAUACCGGAUAAUAUUUUGAACCGCAUGGUUCAAAAGUGAAAGACGGUCUUGCUGUCACUUAUAGAUGGAUCCGCGCUGCAUUAGCUAGUUGGUAAGGUAACGGCUUACCAAGGCAACGAUGCAUAGCCGACCUGAGAGGGUGAUCGGCCACACUGGAACUGAGACACGGUCCAGACUCCUACGGGAGGCAGCAGUAGGGAAUCUUCCGCAAUGGGCGAAAGCCUGACGGAGCAACGCCGCGUGAGUGAUGAAGGUCUUCGGAUCGUAAAACUCUGUUAUUAGGGAAGAACAUAUGUGUAAGUAACUGUGCACAUCUUGACGGUACCUAAUCAGAAAGCCACGGCUAACUACGUGCCAGCAGCCGCGGUAAUACGUAGGUGGCAAGCGUUAUCCGGAAUUAUUGGGCGUAAAGCGCGCGUAGGCGGUUUUUUAAGUCUGAUGUGAAAGCCCACGGCUCAACCGUGGAGGGUCAUUGGAAACUGGAAAACUUGAGUGCAGAAGAGGAAAGUGGAAUUCCAUGUGUAGCGGUGAAAUGCGCAGAGAUAUGGAGGAACACCAGUGGCGAAGGCGACUUUCUGGUCUGUAACUGACGCUGAUGUGCGAAAGCGUGGGGAUCAAACAGGAUUAGAUACCCUGGUAGUCCACGCCGUAAACGAUGAGUGCUAAGUGUUAGGGGGUUUCCGCCCCUUAGUGCUGCAGCUAACGCAUUAAGCACUCCGCCUGGGGAGUACGACCGCAAGGUUGAAACUCAAAGGAAUUGACGGGGACCCGCACAAGCGGUGGAGCAUGUGGUUUAAUUCGAAGCAACGCGAAGAACCUUACCAAAUCUUGACAUCCUUUGACAACUCUAGAGAUAGAGCUUUCCCCUUCGGGGGACAAAGUGACAGGUGGUGCAUGGUUGUCGUCAGCUCGUGUCGUGAGAUGUUGGGUUAAGUCCCGCAACGAGCGCAACCCUUAAGCUUAGUUGCCAUCAUUAAGUUGGGCACUCUAAGUUGACUGCCGGUGACAAACCGGAGGAAGGUGGGGAUGACGUCAAAUCAUCAUGCCCCUUAUGAUUUGGGCUACACACGUGCUACAAUGGACAAUACAAAGGGCAGCAAAACCGCGAGGUCAAGCAAAUCCCAUAAAGUUGUUCUCAGUUCGGAUUGUAGUCUGCAACUCGACUACAUGAAGCUGGAA